This 71-nucleotide transfer RNA is filed under the name Planctomycetaceae bacterium. Its description in RNAcentral is "tRNA-Trp". Lineage: Bacteria; Pseudomonadati; Planctomycetota; Planctomycetia; Planctomycetales; Planctomycetaceae. The record is from RNAcentral.
GGAGUCGUGGUAUCGUGGAAGCAGAUCGGUCCCAACUAACGGAGGCGGAGGUUCAAUCCCUUCCGACUCCA